CGUGAAAUUGUUGAAAGGGAAGCGCUCAUGACCAGACUUGGGCUUGGUUGAUCAUCCAGGGUUCUCCCUGGUGCACUCUUCCAGCCCAGGCCAGCAUCAGUUCGCUGUGGGGGAUAAAGGCUUUGGGAAUGUGGCUCCUCCGGGAGUGUUAUAGCCCAUUGUGUAAUACCCUGUGGUGGACUGAGGUUCGCGCAUCUGCAAGGAUGCUGGCGUAAUGGUCAUCAGCGGCCCGUCUUGAAACACGG
Molecule: ribosomal RNA, 245 nt
Filed under: Ilyonectria panacis
Lineage: Eukaryota; Fungi; Ascomycota; Sordariomycetes; Hypocreales; Nectriaceae
Description: partial large subunit ribosomal RNA
Rfam family: Eukaryotic large subunit ribosomal RNA
Source: RNAcentral